CGGUAACAUAUCUUGCUUGCAAGAUGAUGACGAGUGGCGAACGGGUGCGUAACGCGUAUGCAACCUACCUUAAACUGGGGGAUAGCCAGAAGAAAUUCUGAUUAAUACCCCAUAUUAUAUAUUCUUCGCAUGUUGAAUAUAUCAAAGCUUUGGCGGUUUAAGAUGGGCAUGCGUGACAUUAGCUAGUUGGUAAGGUAACGGCUUACCAAGGCAACGAUGUCUAGGGGGUCUGAGAGGAUUAUCCCCCACACUGGUACUGAGACACGGACCAGACUCCUACGGGAGGCAGCAGUGAGGAAUAUUGGACAAUGGGCGAAAGCCUGAUCCAGCCAUGCCGCGUGCAGGAAGAAUGCCCUACGGGUUGUAAACUGCUUUUAUAUAGGAAUAAACCCCUCUACGUGUAGAGGGCUGAAGGUACUAUACGAAUAAGGAUCGGCUAACUCCGUGCCAGCAGCCGCGGUAAU
RNAcentral lists this ribosomal RNA (464 nucleotides) under uncultured Bacteroidota bacterium. RNAcentral's name for it is "bacterial SSU rRNA". It matches the Rfam family "Bacterial small subunit ribosomal RNA", at positions 67 to 524 of the family's 1533-position model. The record is from RNAcentral. Lineage: Bacteria; Pseudomonadati; Bacteroidota.